This 73-nucleotide transfer RNA is filed under the name Nephromyces sp. ex Molgula occidentalis. RNAcentral's name for it is "tRNA-His". It matches the Rfam family "tRNA". Rfam says of the family: Transfer RNA (tRNA) molecules are approximately 80 nucleotides in length. Lineage: Eukaryota; Apicomplexa; Aconoidasida; Nephromycida. The record is from RNAcentral.
GUGAGUAUAGUAUAAUAGGUUAGUACGAUGAAUUGUGAUUUCAUAAAUACGAGCUCAAAUCUCGUUAUUCAUC